Molecule: unclassified non-coding RNA, 1331 nt
Filed under: Zea mays
Lineage: Eukaryota; Viridiplantae; Streptophyta; Magnoliopsida; Poales; Poaceae
Description: misc RNA Zm00001eb270190
Source: RNAcentral
UGGGCACGGGGUUACGGGCAGCCGACAUACCAUUCACGCGCCUCCUCCAGUGUCGCUAUCUCCAGCCCCCACUCCCUUUCCCCGUCCCGAGCUCGAGCGCGGACGCACGCACAGGCACAGUCGCACACUGACACGAACGCGGCGAAUCCCAGCGUCGGCGAAAUCUGCGGCCUUUUCUCUCCUCUGCAGGCCGUGGGCAGUGGCGCCGCCGCGCGAUGGGGUCGGUGUCCCUGAACGUGGCGUCAUCCCGGCGCGGCGGGCGGCGCCUGGCGUGGCUGUGCUCGUCCGCGCUGCUCAACCUGCUCGUGCUGCUCUCCCUCCUCUCCACCAACCUCCUGGCGCUCCGCGCCUUUCUCUCCCCCCGCGCGCACUCCGUCCCCGCCGCCGGCGCCGCCAACCUCUCCUCCUCCGCCGCCAUCUCCGCGCAGGUGGCCGCCAUCGCGCGGGAGAUCGACGCGACCCGCCUCGUCCCGCGCCACGGCGGCGGCGCCCUGCCCCCGGAGCUGCUCCUCUUCCUGUCCCCGCACGCGCUCCCGCUGGGCCGCGACGCGCGCACGGGGCUCACCCACAUGCCGGCCUCCGUGGCGCACGCCUGCUUCCGCUCCCCGCCCACGCUGGCGCUCCUGGCCGCCUUCGCCACCUACACGCCCCACACCGCCUGCCCGCGGCGCAACGCCACGCUCCCGCACCGCCUCAUCUCCAAGGCCUGCGAGCCGCUGCCCCGCCGCCGCUGCCUCUCCCGGGGCCCGCGCGCCGCGCUCCCGGCCUCCAACAUGGGCGUCGACAGCCACCGCUGGGUGAAGCCGCGCCACGACCACGAGUUCCUCAUCGACGACGUCCUGCGCCUCGCCGGCGGCGGCGGCAAGAUCCGGAUCGGCUUCGACGUCGCCGGCGGCGCCGCCAACUUCGCCGCCCGGAUGAGGGAGCGCGGGGUCACCGUCUUCACCACGGUACUCGACAGCGCCGGGAAGCCCAUGAACGAGUUCGUGGCGGCCAGGGGGCUGUUCCCGCUGCUGCUCUCGCCGGCGCACCGGUUCCCGUUCUACGACGGGGUGUUCGACCUCGUGCACGUCGGGACCACCGCGCUGGCCGAAGGAGGGUCGCCGGCGCUGGGUCAGGCCGGGACGGAGGAAGCGCUUGAGUUCUUCAUGUUUGAUGUCGACCGGGUGCUGCGCGCCCGUGGGCUGCUCUGGAUUGACAGCUACGUGUGCCACAGCGAUGAACGGAGGCAGCUGCUCGUCAGGCUAAUUGGUAGGUUUGGUUACAAGAAGCUCAAAUGGGUAACGGGAGAGAAGGCCGGAACAGGGAGCGCAAAGCCGGCGAUGUACCUC